GCCUUGCGCCUGAAAGGGCGACAGCACACGCUGGAGCGAGAAGUCAGCAGAGGUCGUAGUAGUUCGAGUAGGGCGCCGCUGAGGCAGAACCGAAAGGGCGAAGGAC
This is a non-coding RNA of Burkholderiales bacterium, 106 nucleotides long. The record is from Rfam. NCBI's taxonomy places the organism in Bacteria, Pseudomonadati, Pseudomonadota, Betaproteobacteria, Burkholderiales.